This 321-nucleotide ribosomal RNA is filed under the name uncultured Pontibacillus sp. RNAcentral describes it as "bacterial SSU rRNA". It matches the Rfam family "Bacterial small subunit ribosomal RNA", at positions 505 to 825 of the family's 1533-position model. Lineage: Bacteria; Bacillati; Bacillota; Bacilli; Caryophanales; Bacillaceae. The record is from RNAcentral.
GUGCCAGCAGCUGCGGUAAUACGUAGGUGGCAAGCGUUGUCCGGAAUUAUUGGGCGUAAAGCGCGCGCAGGCGGUUCCUUAAGUCUGAUGUGAAAGCCCACAGCUCAACUGUGGAGGGCCAUUGGAAACUGGGGAACUUGAGUACAGAAGAGGAGAGCGGAAUUCCACGUGUAGCGGUGAAAUGCGUAGAUAUGUGGAGGAACACCAGUGGCGAAGGCGGCUCUCUGGUCUGUAACUGACGCUGAGGCGCGAAAGCGUGGGUAGCAAACAGGAUUAGAUACCCUGGUAGUCCACGCCGUAAACGUUGAGUGCUAGGUGUUA